AAUCAACGCUGGCGGCGUGCCUAACACAUGCAAGUCGAACGAGAAAGGGUGGGUGUAGCAAUACAUUCGCCUGAGUAAAGUGGCGACCGGGUGAGUAACACGUGGCCAACCUACCCUCGAGCGGGGGAUAACCUGGGGAAACUCGGGCUAAUACCGCAUAACGUCCCGAUGGCACAAGCCAAAUGGGACCAAAAGGCCCGCAAGGGUCACUUGGGGAGGGGGCGUGCGGCCGAUUAGCUAGAUGGUGAGGUAACGGCCCACCAUGGCUUUGAUCGGUAGCCGGCCUGAGAGGGCGCACGGGUCACACUGGCACUGAAACACGGGCCAGACUCCUACGGGAGGCAGCAGUGGGGAAUUUUG
RNAcentral lists this ribosomal RNA (360 nucleotides) under uncultured bacterium. RNAcentral's name for it is "bacterial SSU rRNA". It matches the Rfam family "Bacterial small subunit ribosomal RNA", at positions 32 to 366 of the family's 1533-position model. The record is from RNAcentral.